GAAUUUUGGACAAUGGGCGAAAGCCUGAUCCAGCAAUGCCGCGUGCAGGAUGAAGGCCUUCGGGUUGUAAACUGCUUUUGUACGGAACGAAAAGCUUUUGGUUAAUACCCUGGAGUCAUGACGGUACCGGAAGAAUACACACCGGCUCACCACUGUCCAACAGCCGCGGUAAUACGUAGGGUGCAAGCGUUAAUCGGAAUUACUGGGCGUAAAGCGUGCGCAGGCGGUUUUGUAAGACAGAGGUGAAAUCCCCGGGCUCAACCUGGGAACUGCCUUUGUGACUGCAAGGCUAGAGUACGGCAGAGGGGGGUGGAAGUCCGCGUGUAGCAGUGAAAUGCGUAGAUAUGCGGAGGAACACCGAUGGCGAAGGCAACCCCCUGGGCCUGUACUGACGCUCAUGCACGAAAGCGUGGGGAGCAAAC
RNAcentral lists this ribosomal RNA (422 nucleotides) under uncultured bacterium. RNAcentral describes it as "partial 16S ribosomal RNA". It matches the Rfam family "Bacterial small subunit ribosomal RNA", at positions 359 to 773 of the family's 1533-position model. The record is from RNAcentral.